RNAcentral lists this ribosomal RNA (497 nucleotides) under uncultured bacterium. RNAcentral's name for it is "partial 16S ribosomal RNA". It matches the Rfam family "Bacterial small subunit ribosomal RNA", at positions 28 to 507 of the family's 1533-position model. The record is from RNAcentral.
GAUGAACGCUGGCGGCGUGCCUAAUACAUGCAAGUCGAGCGAACGGACGAGAAGCUUGCUUCUCUGAUGUUAGCGGCGGACGGGUGAGUAACACGUGGAUAACCUACCUAUAAGACUGGGAUAACUUCGGGAAACCGGAGCUAAUACCGGAUAAUAUUUUGAACCGCAUGGUUCAAAAGUGAAAGACGGUCUUGCUGUCACUUAUAGAUGGAUCCGCGCUGCAUUAGCUAGUUGGUAAGGUAACGGCUUACCAAGGCAACGAUGCAUAGCCGACCUGAGAGGGUGAUCGGCCACACUGGAACUGGAACACGGUCCAGACUCCUACGGGAGGCAGCAGUAGGGAAUCUUCCGCAAUGGGCGAAAGCCUGACGGAGCAACGCCGCGUGAGUGAUGAAGGUCUUCGGAUCGUAAAACUCUGUUAUUAGGGAAGAACAUAUGUGUAAGUAACUGUGCACAUCUUGACGGUACCUAAUCAGAAAGCCACGGCUAACUACGUG